AAUAACGAGAGGUAAUACAUUUCUGUCUUUUCAUUUAUGUUCUAGGUCACCCACCAGUAUAAUGCGGGCAUAUCAUUUUUCAUGUCUUUACCAGGCGCCCACCUGUAUAACGAGAGGAAUACAUUUCAGUCUUUUCAUUCCAAGUGUUGAAGUUGGGAGACCGCCCAUAGAAUAGCGGCAUACAUUUCAUGUCUUAACCAGGCACCCACCUGAAUAACGAGAGGAAUACUUUUAUGUCUUAGUUUAGACAAGCGCCCACCUGAAUAACGAGAGGAAUACUUUUUGUCUGUGCAUUUCAUAUUUUAGGCGCCCACCUGUAUAACAAGGGAAUACAUUUUGUGUCUUUACCAUUAGACGCCCACCUGUAUAACAAGGGAAUACAUUCCACGUCUUCACCCAUAGGAGAUGCAUUUCCUCCUAAGUUUGUUUUAGUUUUACCCAUAGGAGAUGCAUUUCCUCCUAAGUUUGUUUUUUUACCCAUAGGAGAUGUAUUUCCUCCUAAAGUUUAUUUUUACCCAUAGGAGAUGCAUUUCCUACUAAGUUUAUUUCACCCAAUAGGAGACGCACUUCAUAAGAAUAGUUGUACCAAGAGGAGACGCACAUCCUAAGCAAGUUUCACCAAGAGGAGACGCACUUCCUAAGAAUAAUUUCACCAAUAGGAGACGCACUUCC
This 672-nucleotide long non-coding RNA is filed under the name Nicotiana tabacum (common tobacco). Its description in RNAcentral is "long non-coding RNA (NTAB_LNC008727)". The record is from RNAcentral. Lineage: Eukaryota; Viridiplantae; Streptophyta; Magnoliopsida; Solanales; Solanaceae.